UUCCGGUUGAUCCUGCCGGACCCGACUGCUAUUUGGGUGAGGAUAAGCCAUGCGAGUCGAAUGGGAUACCUAAAUUUCCCAUGGCAGACUGCUCAAUAACACAUGAUCAACUUACCCUAUAGAGAAAAAUAACCUCGGGAAACUGAGGAUAAUAUUUCAUAGUUGAAAAGGCUUGGAAAAGUUUUUCAACCAAAGGGAUAAGAAAAAUGGUUUUUAUCCGCUAUAGGAUAGGAUCGUGGUCGAUUAUGGUCGUUGGUGAGGUAAUGGCUCACCAAGCCGAUAAUCGAUAGGGGCCGUGAGAGCGGGAGCCCCGAGAUGGGUACUGAGACAACGACCCAGGCCAUACGUGGCGCAGCAGGCGCGGAACCUCCGCAAUACACGAAAGUGUGACGGGGUUACCCAAAGUGUUCAAUUUUGAACGGGGUAAGUCAAUAGUGUCCCCUACUAGAACUGUGGUAGGUGAGUAAUGUCCCCUACUAGAAAGGAGAGGGCAAGGCUGGUGCCAGCCGCCGCGGUAAAACCAGCUCUUCAAGUGGUCGGGAUAAUUAUUGGGCUUAAAGUGUCCGUAGCCGGUUUAGUAAGUUCCUGGUAAAAUCGGGUAGCUUAACUAUCUGCAUGCUAGGAAUACUGCUAUACUAGAGGGCGGGAGAGGUCUGAGGUACUACAGGGGUAGGGGUGAAAUCUUAUAAUCCUUGUAGGACCACCAGUGGCGAAGGCGUCAGACUGGAACGUGCCUGACGGUGAGGGACGAAAGCCAGGGGAGCGAACCGGAUUAGAUACCCGGGUAGUCCUGGCCGUAAACGAUGCAUACUAGGUGAUGGCAUGGCCAUGAGCCAUGUCAGUGCCGUAGGGAAACCGUUAAGUGUGCCGCCUGGGAAGUACGGUCGCAAGGCUAAAACUUAAAGGAAUUGGCGGGGGAGCACCACAAGGGGUGAAGCCUGCGGUUCA
This 948-nucleotide ribosomal RNA is filed under the name uncultured archaeon. RNAcentral's name for it is "bacterial SSU rRNA". It matches the Rfam family "Archaeal small subunit ribosomal RNA", at positions 1 to 904 of the family's 1478-position model. The record is from RNAcentral.